CUACGGAGGGUGCAAGCGUUACUCGGAAUCACUGGGCGUAAAGGAUGCGUAGGCGGAUAAUCAAGUCAAAAGUGAAAUCCCACGGCUUAACCGUGGAACUGCUUUCGAAACUGGUUAUCUAGAAUAUGGAAGAGGCAGAUGGAAUUAGUGGUGUAGGGGUAAAAUCCGUAGAGAUCACUAGGAAUACCGAUUGCGAAGGCGAUCUGCUGGGACAUUAUUGACGCUGAGGCAUGAAAGCGUGGGGAGCAAACAGGAUUAGAUACCCUAGUAGUCC
Molecule: ribosomal RNA, 274 nt
Filed under: uncultured bacterium
Lineage: Bacteria
Description: partial 16S ribosomal RNA
Rfam family: Bacterial small subunit ribosomal RNA
Source: RNAcentral